Molecule: ribosomal RNA, 253 nt
Filed under: uncultured bacterium
Lineage: Bacteria
Also listed under: 1 other name
Description: partial 16S ribosomal RNA
Rfam family: Bacterial small subunit ribosomal RNA
Source: RNAcentral
UACAGAGACUGCAAGCGUUAUUCGGAUUCACUGGGCGUAAAGGGUGCGCAGGCGGCCAGGUGUGUUAGGCGUGAAAGCCCGGGGCUUAACCCCGGAAUUGCACCUAAAACUACUUGGCUAGAGCAUUGGAGAGGGUAGCGGAAUUCACGGUGUAGCAGUGAAAUGCGUAGAUAUCGUGAGGAACACCAGAGGCGAAGGCGGCUACCUGGACAAUUGCUGACGCUCAGGCACGAAAGCGUGGGGAGCAAAAGGG